Molecule: non-coding RNA, 73 nt
Organism: Podarcis lilfordi (Lilford's wall lizard)
Lineage: Eukaryota; Metazoa; Chordata; Lepidosauria; Squamata; Lacertidae
Source: the annotation of a GenBank genome assembly
UCCUUGGUAGCUCAGUUGGUAGAGCAUGAGACUCUUAAUCUCAGGGCUGUGGGUUCGAGCCCCACGUUGGGCA